Long non-coding RNA from Gasterosteus aculeatus aculeatus (three-spined stickleback), 1993 nucleotides. The record is from Ensembl. Lineage: Eukaryota; Metazoa; Chordata; Actinopteri; Perciformes; Gasterosteidae.
CUUCUGAUAAACUACGACUAGAAUUGAAUGCAGCACUUGACCCUUCUGUCCCUUUGCCUUAUCUAUAGAGCGGUGAACCAUAAAGCCGGAACGGUUCAGCUGUAACUGUCCACUAGUGUCACUUUGUUCUUGUUUAUAGGACUGAUCUUUUCUUCUCAUUGCACUCUGCCGCAAUUCCGGUUUUAUGCCUGAUUGAUUAACGUCCUCCAUUAAAGACUCAGUGACUUUUCAGCUGCAGCUGUAGUGAUUUCACAUCUGUGCGUCCCUUCUUUCAAGUUUCAAUCUGGUCUCUGGUUAUCCCUCCAUUUUAAGGUAAAACAGCAGAGGAGGAAACCAUCCGAGAUUUGAAGACAAAAUACAUGGAGCCCCUGAUGAUGAGAGAAGAGGAAGAGACAAAGAAACACACUGAGGUGAAGCAGACCGAGAGGUGAGGAAAGCAGACGAGACCGGCUGGGAAAUCAAGGAAUGUCGGGUAUGGGAGACGAUUUGGGCCAGCAGGAGAGGUCACGUCUUCUCCUCCACAUCCAGUGCUCCCUCCCUCCUCCAGGAGGCAGGGGGGGUUACUCCGCUACCUGGAGACCGACAGCCUCCCUCAACCGGCCAAUCGGAAGCUCUGAAAAACAGGCCGCUGCUCGGCCAUUGGUCCGCCGCUCCCAGGAACUCAUUGCGCCAUCAGUGGCUGUGUCAUUGUGUCGUCUGGCAGUGCUGAAGCCAAUUAUACUGCCCCUCUUUCUUUGUUCAGACCCGUUGUCUCCAGCGGACCCCCUUCACACACAUAAGGGCGUCCACGCAGACGCCCACGUCUAGAGGUCACGCCCCUUCUGCCCAGAGUGUGACAGCAAGAGGCAGGAGUCUGGGAAUCAGGAGGAUCUGAACAUAUGACAAGUCUCUCCGAACGGACUCUACUGGACUAAACCUCAGCAUGUUUGGUUUCUGUUGCAGAUUAGAGGGCUGAUGUUCUGAAAUAAUUCACUGAUUAUAAUAAAAGUCAUGAGGUUGAUUUCAAAGUGACAAACCAAUUCAUGUUAAAAAUGUAUUCCUUCUUUGCGGGGCAAUAAUAGAAGUCUAGCCACGCUAGAGAGUUCCAGCAGGUAAUAUGUCCACCAUGUUUACCUUGUUAGCAUGUUAGCAUGCAAAUACACGAUAUACUGAGUGUGAUGAUUUCUUAUGAGAUGGCGCUGUGUGGAAUGAUUUAAAGAACAACCAGUGAAUUGAGCUUUACCAUGAUUAUAUAACUUUUUAGGACACAGUAGAACAUGACUUUUUAUGAUAUAGUAUUAGUUUUUCAUGCAAUACAAUGACUUUUUUGAUAAAUAUUUGACUUUUUAUGAAAUGCCACCCAAAGCAUUUCUUUCUGAAACUGUUAAUCACUUUUUACAAUGAUCUUUUUAUGACAAUGUUUAAAAUAUUCUGGCUAAAUUAUGCUGAACUAGGACCUUUGUUCUCAUGUUCGUGAUGAAUUCUAAAAAAAUGUAUGAAUAAAUAGUAUAACGCACAAACUUUAUAAAUACUAUGUUAGUAAAUCAUGUCAAGAAACGUGUAUACUAUGACUUCUUCUGACAGUCUUUUAUAACAUUUAGAAAUACAGAAAAAUUGACAUACAAUAGUGGUUAGUUCAUAAAAGUUAUGAUUAGUCGGUUUCUUUUCAAUAUCUUAAUAUUUGAAUGAGGAUUUUCUUUGUUUUUUCAUUUUUCUAAUGUCAAACACUCAGUACACUUCUUUGGACAUUCACAUACACUGACUUUUUUUUACAAAUUUACCAAAAUUGUAGUCCAUGACUUUGUUAUACUAUACUUUAUUUUCAAACAAAGUAUAGGCUUUUUAUCAUACACUACAAUAAAUCAUUUCUCAGGACAUUGUAUUCUAUGGAUUUUUAUGAAAGAAAAUCUGUGCCCAAUUAACCAUAAAUGAGUUUUUGUCAUCUUCAUUAACACAGGUGGCCCCUGUACUGACUUUUGUGUGCGAUGUGAUGCAGUUGCAAAGGUUUGUGUGU